This 73-nucleotide transfer RNA is filed under the name Dipodomys ordii (Ord's kangaroo rat). It matches the Rfam family "tRNA". Rfam says of the family: Transfer RNA (tRNA) molecules are approximately 80 nucleotides in length. Lineage: Eukaryota; Metazoa; Chordata; Mammalia; Rodentia; Heteromyidae. The record is from Rfam by way of RNAcentral.
GGGGGCAUGGCUCAAGUUGUAUAGCACCUGCCUAGCAAGCAUGAGGCUUUGAGUUUUAACCCCAGUACCACCA